This 492-nucleotide ribosomal RNA is filed under the name uncultured bacterium. RNAcentral's name for it is "partial 16S ribosomal RNA". It matches the Rfam family "Bacterial small subunit ribosomal RNA", at positions 29 to 507 of the family's 1533-position model. The record is from RNAcentral.
AGUGAACGCUGGCGGUAGGCCUAACACAUGCAAGUCGAACGGCAGCACAGAAAGAGUUUGUUCUUACGGGUGGCGAGUCGCGGACGGGUGAGGAAUACAUCGGAAUCUUCUUUUUCGUGGGGGAUAACGUAGGGAAACUAACGCUAAUACCGCAUACUACCUACGGCAGAAAGCAGGGGAUUUGCGGAUCUUGCGCGAUUGUAUGAGCCGAUGUCGGAUUAGCUAGUUGGCGGGGUAAAGGCUCACCAAGGCGACGAUCCGUAGCUGGUCUGAGAGGAUGAUCAGCCACACUGGAACUGAGACACGGUCCAGACUCCUACGGGAGGCAGCAGUGGGGAAUAUUGGACAAUGGGCGCAAGCCUGAUCCAGCCAUGCCGCGUGGGUGAAGAAGGCCUUCGGGUUGUAAAGCCCUUUUGUUGGGGAAGAAGAGCAGAAAGUUAAUACCUCGAUGUACUGACGGUACCCAAAGAAUAAGCACCGGCUAACUUCGUG